This 93-nucleotide transfer RNA is filed under the name Salmo salar (Atlantic salmon). It matches the Rfam family "tRNA". Rfam says of the family: Transfer RNA (tRNA) molecules are approximately 80 nucleotides in length. Their secondary structure includes four short double-helical elements and three loops (D, anti-codon, and T loops). The record is from Rfam by way of RNAcentral. Lineage: Eukaryota; Metazoa; Chordata; Actinopteri; Salmoniformes; Salmonidae.
GCCCCCGUGGCUCAGUUGGUAGAGCAUGGUGUGUGCAACGCCAGCAUGGUGUGUGCAACGCCAGGGUUGUGGGUUCGAUUCCCACAGGGGGGC